UCAGGCGACUCGGAGCUCUGGAGAGAUUGCUCUUGGUUCAAAGUUGCCUUUAAUUUCACUUUUGGGAUCGAAAUAGGUUUUUGAAUCGAAUUUACAUUUUGUUUUGAAAUGCCUCUGCAUUUCCUCUCCCUAUAGUAAUUUUCCAUGUCGACAUGCUGACCUAGCCCACUCCUGACGAUACCGAGCCGUUCUUGGACGACGAUGUCCAAGAUGUGAAUUCAUCGUCACAUCUUGGGCUUGAAUGAUUCCUGCCUACAAUCAUUUGUUUUUGAAAAUACAAACGACUCGCUCAUUUCAUAGAGGCAUGCGAUUUGAAGGUCUACAUAAUCAUCAUUCACGCCUGACCUCUGUGCAGCGGCUCCCUCUGGUGGCAGAGUGAAUCAGUACUAGUUGAAAGUGUUUCAUAAAAAUGUGUCGUCAGCAGGGUGUAAAAAUAAACAACUAAUUUCUGUUCGAUUGAGAAAAAUACUUUAUUGUGUAUCAAAAUACUGUCUUACAAUCACUUUAAAAGCCUUUUUUUUUUAAAUUUUGGACAAAAUUCCGUUAUUUAGCUUCAAAAUACAGAUAAAGGCACAAAGCAGAGUUAAGCUCAAAUGGGAA
This is a long non-coding RNA of Xiphophorus couchianus (Monterrey platyfish), 600 nucleotides long. RefSeq lists it as uncharacterized. NCBI's taxonomy places the organism in Eukaryota, Metazoa, Chordata, Actinopteri, Cyprinodontiformes, Poeciliidae. The record is from RefSeq and is a predicted model, not a curated record. The transcript is spliced from 2 exons.